GCGUGAUGGAUGAAGGCUCUUCGGAUUGUAAACCUCUUCCAGGCAGGGGAAUAAGCUGAAUGUGAAGGUACCUGCUAGUAAGAAGCAACGAGCUCAACUAAUGAUGCCUACGCGAGCCUGACGUGUCAAGUACCAUACGAGGUCGCAAUGCUAGUUAGUCCAAGCGAACUUCAUAGGCGGCNGAUAACANGAAGCUUCCAGUUAGUGUCGUGUCAAGAUCGACUGCUCUGGAUGGUUGAUAAGAUCUUAGAUGGCGUGUUAGCCGUACAAUGACCUUGGCGAGUUCAAGUUCACGUGAGGUUCGACGCUAUCAUGUAGUACGGUACGCGGAGACGACGUAGGUAAGUUCUCAUAGGGUUGUUAUGCGUGGUAGAGCAUAUCGCCAGCUAGGGAUUACUCGAUGGGAAGAGUAGUCGAUCCUGANUUAGUGCUGGACAAGAGCNAAGCGUGCCCCGUGUGNGUGCACGAAUNUNACNUUAGANCNAACCUUGGAGGAGGACGUCUGAAACAUGGUAGUUGCGGUGNAGGGCCGACAGCAUGAGGACUCUAGGAGUGNACCGCCUUGAGCUGAGGUACGCUACAANCGCAGCUCACACAGCGGUGUAUGUGCGCCUGGCUUCA
RNAcentral lists this ribosomal RNA (621 nucleotides) under uncultured bacterium. Its description in RNAcentral is "partial 16S ribosomal RNA". The record is from RNAcentral.